UACGGACGGGGCAAGCGUUGUUCGGAAUCAUUGGGCGUAAAGGGCGCGUAGGUGGUUCUGUAUGUCUACCGUGAAAGCGUACGGCUCAACCGUAUUUUGUCGGUAGAAACUGCAGGACUUGAGGCUGGGAGGGGCUGGUGGAAUUCCCUGUGUAGCGGUGAAAUGCGUAGAGAUGGGGGAGAACACUCGUGGCGAAGGCGGCCAGCUAGACCAGUUCUGACACUGAGGCGCGACAGCGUGGGAGCAAACAGG
Molecule: ribosomal RNA, 252 nt
Filed under: uncultured bacterium
Lineage: Bacteria
Description: partial 16S ribosomal RNA
Rfam family: Bacterial small subunit ribosomal RNA
Source: RNAcentral